ACAGCAGCAGCCGCGGUAAUACGUAGGGUGCAAGCGUUAAUCGGAAUUACUGGGCGUAAAGCGUGCGCAGGCGGUUAUAUAAGUCAGAUGUGAAAUCCCCGGGCUCAACCUGGGACCUGCAUUUGUGACUGUAUAGCUAGAGUACGGUAGAGGGGGAUGGAAUUCCGCGUGUAGCAGUGAAAUGCGUAGAUAUGCGGAGGAACACCAAUGGCGAAGGCAAUCCCCUGGACCUGUACUGACGCUCAUGCACGAAAGCGUGGGGAGCAAACAGGAUUAGAUACCCGCGUAGUCCCUGUCUCUUAUAC
RNAcentral lists this ribosomal RNA (305 nucleotides) under uncultured bacterium. Its description in RNAcentral is "partial 16S ribosomal RNA". It matches the Rfam family "Bacterial small subunit ribosomal RNA", at positions 505 to 807 of the family's 1533-position model. The record is from RNAcentral.